RNAcentral lists this ribosomal RNA (490 nucleotides) under uncultured bacterium. RNAcentral's name for it is "partial 16S ribosomal RNA". It matches the Rfam family "Bacterial small subunit ribosomal RNA", at positions 28 to 507 of the family's 1533-position model. The record is from RNAcentral.
GAUGAACGCUAGCUACAGGCUUAACACAUGCAAGUCGCAGGGUAACAUGAGGAAAGCUUGCUUUCCUUGAUGCCGACUGGCGCACGGGUGAGUAACGCGUAUCCAACCUUCCCAUAACUACGGGAUAACCCGUUGAAAGACGGCCUAAUACCGUAUGAUAUCGUUUGCUGACAUCAAAUAACGAUUAAAGGUUUAGCGGUUAUGGAUGGGGAUGCGUCUGAUUAGCUUGUUGGCGGGGUAACGGCCCACCAAGGCGACGAUCAGUAGGGGUUCUGAGAGGAAGGUCCCCCACAUUGGAACUGAGCCACGGUCCAAGCUCAUACGGGAGGCAGCAGUGAGGAAUAUUGGUCAAUGGGCGAGAGCCUGAACCAGCCAAGUAGCGUGCAGGACGACGGCCCUAUGGGUUGUAAACUGCUUUUAUGUGGGGAUAAAGUGCGUGACGUGUCAUGCAUUGCAGGUACCACAUGAAUAAGGACCGGCUAAUUCCGUG